GUUAUGCUUUAGGGGUAUUCUAAAAAAGAAUUGAGAGAGUCCCUUUGAACCUGACACGGCUAAUACCGACGUAGGGAAAAGCAAUACAGUACAC
RNAcentral lists this non-coding RNA (94 nucleotides) under Sphingobacterium spiritivorum. Its description in RNAcentral is "Sphingobacterium sp. TPP sequence". It matches the Rfam family "TPP riboswitch aptamer (THI element)". From Rfam's summary of the family: Vitamin B(1) in its active form thiamin pyrophosphate (TPP) is an essential coenzyme that is synthesised by coupling of pyrimidine and thiazole moieties in bacteria. Lineage: Bacteria; Pseudomonadati; Bacteroidota; Sphingobacteriia; Sphingobacteriales; Sphingobacteriaceae. The record is from RNAcentral.